Non-coding RNA from Coturnix japonica (Japanese quail), 8868 nucleotides. The record is from RefSeq and is a predicted model, not a curated record. NCBI's taxonomy places the organism in Eukaryota, Metazoa, Chordata, Aves, Galliformes, Phasianidae.
ACACAAGGCUAAAAGGAGAAUUAAGCGUCUGGCAGUCAGGAGCUCGGCUCCACUGCAAGGGAGGUUUCAUAGCAAUAUGCUUCAAGAUCAAUUACCAAAACAAAGAAAAAGAAAAAAAGGGAAACAAAAACGAAAGACAGCAGUGUGCUGCAUAACACUGGGUGCUAAGGAGCCUGCAGAAAAACAUUGGAGGUGGAAGGUUUGGUCCUUGGACGUGUGUAAUGGCCUGCUGUCUUUGAGGAAGGACAUUUCUCCCUCCUCCCGGUCCCACACCCACAGCAGUGCCUGCCUUGCACUGACACAGCUGGUCAUGGGGCUGUGUUGUGAAACCUCGCGGGGAGGUGAUGGGGAGGAAGGGUUGUGUAACUCAAAUGCGUUCCCCAGCCCAAUUCACAGCCAAGUCUCAUCAAUUGGCUGCAGUGGGGAGAAUACCUAGAACCGAUCUUGCCACCAACACAGCAUAUUGUCGUCCCACUGCCUAACUGCAGUGCCUCUGUCGUGUUUGGGACAGCUGCACCCCAAAGACCUGGGCAGGGGGUAAGGCAGGAGCUCUUUUUCCAGCCUCACUUCCCUGAAUACAGGCAGCUCGACCUUCCCCAUAUCUGCACAUCAUGUGGGGCAAAGCAUCAGGGAGGUUUCUUACCUGGCACCACCAAUGAGCUGGUCCCAGCAGGGCAAAGAGUGAAUGCAGUUCUCUCCUGGGGCUGGGGCUGCAGGGCUUCAGUGCUCCUCAGCUGGCAGCAGCUGCACGAGAACUGCUCCCGUGCUAAACCCAAACCUCCUCUGUCAGUCAUCGGGUGUAAUAAAGUCUCAUUAGCAGAAAACAAUCCCACUGAGCAGCGCUCCCCUCUGCUAUGCCCUCCUUUCAGGCUUCAUCCCCUUAUCCCACACGCUCUCACUGGGGACAGGGCACUUCCCUUGUUUACAGGUGAGGUGAGCACUGUUGCUAACACGAGCUAACCAACCCAUUGGCAAAGUGAGGGGGGAUGGGAAGCCCACAUGCAGCCCAUGCCAAAAGCAGUCUGCUUAACUUAAAGUAGUCCCCGUCCUUCCCUGUAGUCUGCACCAGCUAAUGCAGCAUCACUCUAGGCCUGCACCAGCACCUGGCAUUGUUUAGAAGUGUCUUGGUCACUUUCAGAUUUAUAUCUAUUUGAUUUUACCUGUAUCUCUUUCCCCCUUUGCAGCAGGGCCUGUUGCUUAUGGCCACACAACACAAGGAGAAAACAACACUGCUGAGAGAAGCCACAAAUCCACCUGAUCCCACCCCAUCCAGUGCCAUGACCUGAUACAACCUUAUCCAUUAAUUAAUGGGAACCUGUUCCUAACAGCACCUAGACACGCUGUUCCCAGGCUUGCUGUCAUCAUUGGUGCUGUUCCCUUGAACGCACCGUAUGCAGCCCGGCAGGGCCUGCUGGGGGGUGAGGAUUUUACAUACAGCUGUAGAGAUCAGCAGUGGUGACUAACCUUAUAAAACACACUUUUUAAAGCGCUGAUGAUGGAGUAGACACUAAUUACGCCUGGGGAGCGCAGUCCCACGGCCACCUUCAGCACACAUGACUGCACAAAGCAGGAUGUGAAGGACAGCACUGAAGCACAGUCACAGUUAAGUUGUCUUCUGGACAGCUGGUUGUGGUUGGGUAAAACUUAACGAAGAUCUGAAAAAUGUGAUACUAAAAUUGUUCGGCAGGACUUUCAUGUUUUUAGGUCUGCAAAGCUGAGUUUUCUCCUUAUAAUUAUGGUAGUAAAUUGCUGAGAAAGAGAGCAAAUGCUUUUGAUUGCAGCCAUUGUCAGUGCCGUGUACACACUUAAAUUUAGUCAGAAUCAGGAAUCAUUCUUUUUGCCUACGUAUCAAAACCGUGACCUUCCCUCACCAGCACCACGCAGAUUAUUCAGUGCAGCAUACAGCCCUUGCCAGCAAACUGCAGAGCAUCAGGCUGUUCUCACGGGGUGGUGAGGGUGAAGCUGUGCACCCAGGGCACUGCAGCUGUGCCAAUGGGUGACUCUAACCCUUAGCUUUUCCACAGCCAGUGUGAUAUUCACAACAGCCAGGAAAGAAUGUUUUCAAAAGAUUCAACUCUUCACUUCUGAUUGAGUUUUAAAUCAGUCUUAUUUUUAUCCCAGGCUAUUUAUUCACUGCUGUCAUAGCAAUUGGGUGCACCGCCAUAAUAAAAAGUUAUUUUGAGGGGCUACUGCUUUUACAGCUGAGAUAUGCACAUUGGCCUUUUCUGUAGUGUUUGCUUUUUAAUUAAUAACUGGAGCAUUGCCAGAAGGAAAAGAGAAGUAGGAACAAGUCCUAGGUAAUAAAAUCAUCAAGGUUAUCUUGUUCUUGUUUCACUGCAGCAGUGUAAGAGGGAGAGAUGUCAGAUGCAGCCAGGCAGCAAGAAAGUGCAGUAGGUUAUACAGGAAAGCACCCAGCUGUGUCUUGAAUAUCUCCAGCAAAGGAGACUCCACGGGCUCUCCAGGCAGCCUGUUGCAGUUCUCCGUCACCCUCACAGGAAAGAAGUUCUUCUGCAUGCUCUUAUGGAACUUGCUGUGUUGUCGCUUUUGCCCAUUCCCUUUGUUCUGUCAGUGCACACCACUGAAAAGAACCCGGCCUGAUCCAUCUGUCUCCCACCCAGUAGAUAUUUAUAAACAGUGAUAAGAUUCCCACUCAGUCUUUUCUUCUCACCUUCUUCACCUGGAAUAUGCCAAGCAUAGUCUCUUCACUAGUGAGAAAACUUAGGAACACACGUACUGGAGCAGCUUCAGCUGAACCUCUUUCAUUUUGCUUUUAUUUUUUUGCAGAUACGGUGUUAAGCACCAGUGAACUCCCAGCUGCGGAAACGCUGCCAGUCCUCAUAUAUAACAUAGGUCCUGAAACCAUCUUGACUUCAUGCCUCUCCUUGCUGAGGCUCUGCUGCAUGACUUCCCUUGGAGUCUCUCAGAGCCAGCUUGGGUAACCUAACUCCAGUUAAAGCCAUUUGUUUUGUGGGACGGGUGCUGACCUCCCAGCUGGCUGUUGUCUGGGCAGCACAAAGGCCUGCCAGUAAGCAGAGGAGACCAAGCCAACACCAUGCGCAGGAGGUUUGUCAAGACACUCCCAAAGGCUUGUCAAGGAUCUUGCAGCCAUGACAGGAGUGACGGUUCACUCAGCCCACAGCCGUGCGGGGCACAGCGGACAUUUCACCACCAGGCUGGGACUGGCACGUCCCUAGUGAGAUGGAGAAGCUGGGCUGUUCUGAAGCUCCCUCGGGGGCACUCAUCAGGCUUGAUCCCAAAGGAAGUGCAGGCAUCCUCACUGUGCCAGCUCCCUGUGGACCCUGGCAAAGCAGCAGUUACAAGUGGUGGUUUCAGUCCCGUUGUUGUGGCUGGGAAACUCCUGCCCCACACCCAUCACCAGACCCCAGGCAUCUCCUGUAACUGGUUUCCGUGGUUUUGUGCUCAUAAAACCUUUGCUGGAGGCCACAGGCCAUUUGCCUUGCCACACUGCUGGGUUGCGUGCACAGUCAGUGCCUGCGCCUCAGGCUCACAGCAGCAAGCAGAGGCCAGCGGUACUGCUGGGGUACAGGAUGUGGUCCCAGCGCCCCUCAUGGGGCUCCCAGAGCUCAGAGUGGGUCAAGGUGGGGGUGCAGAGCGAUCAGAGGUGUCCAGCUGUGUCAGCCCCAAACCCCUCCCCACCUUUGGUGAGGGCAGUUCAGAGAGAGACACGAAGAACAUGCUAUUUCUUCUGCAGCAGUGUGUACACAUACCGGAGUUAUCAGAAAGCUCUUAUCUUGCUAUUGUAGAAAUCGCUGAUAAAACUUCAGCAACAAUAAAAACAAAAAGAAACGGAGGUAAGGGGAAAUGAAAUAAUCCACGCAUCUCAGCUUAAUACCCAGCCUCAUCACUGCAGGUUAAUGAAAAAUGAAGAUAUAGGGAAGAUAAAUGGAAGAUGUGCCUAGGGACUGAGAUCAGCAGUGUCGUCAGAGUAAAUAAAGGGUUUUCUUCUCGCAGCUCUGUGGAGAAAUCCCUCUGACACGGAUGUGUAUAAAUAAAUGGAACUUCAGACACCAGCGCACAGCACAGAUGAGAUCUGGCCACGUAGAUUAGUAAACCACCAUCUCACGUAUGAAAUCACUGCGGGUUUUGUGCUCGAUCCCGUAUGCGUUUAACUUUUCCCAUGUAAACAGUCUUCCAAAGUUAAUGGAGCUGUAGUAAUUUGCAAUGGCUGGCGAUUCAGCCGGAGGGUUUAAGCAUUCCUGCCGGCUGACGUUGCAGCACAUGAGCUGUAGUAACCCGGCUGCAGGACAGCUUGGAGAUGUUCCUGCUCUGGCACAAACAGCCGUGGCCAUUGCACCGCGUGGCUGGUGGCGUCACCAUGUCCAUGGGCAGAGAAAUGCAGCUCCGGCCCUGCAGAGGAGCGUGCAGACAUGUUGUUGGCCACAGCAAUGUAAAGCUCAUUCCCUGCUUUCUCUCAGUCUCACUGGGGACGUGCCAAUGCUUUCCAGAGACCGUUUCAUUACUGCUAUGCUGCUUACAGGCGUCUUAAUUUAAAUUGCAUUAUAGAUGCAUUGAGGCAAAAUGAUCUAUCCACAGCCUAAAUAAUGAACCGGAGUGAAAACAUCCUUGGGCUGCGAGAAGCUAGAACAAGCACUAAUUGAAAUAUAUAAACUUACAUAACAUUAUUUAUAAAAAGGAGCUCGGUUGUCAAAGGCUGGAGCAUGGGAAUGUUUCUCUGCAGACAAGAAUUAAUUAUGUUGCCUUAUAUAUUUCAGUUACUUUGGUUGCUCAUCUCCAAAUGCGCCCAAGGACUACUUGGAAGGUAUUUAUGGUUCCCAGCCACUGAUUCUGCAUGGUGUUUUUUAACGUAGCACUUGUGCACAUCAUUGCCUCACAGGAUAUUGCAGUGUGUGGGGGGGGUAAUUAGCUUUAUGCACCGUGCUCCUCAGCUUUAAAAGAAAUGCAGAUUUGCCCUGAGGUUCUGCAGUAGUGAAUGUAUUUUAGAAGAUGCUGGAGGGAGGCCAGGGCUCACCAAGUCACCAGAUAGAGGGUGGUGGGGUGGCUGCUACUUCUGGGGCUGCAGCAGAGCUCUGAGGUAGCUGUAAUCAAAUGCACUCCUGCUGUCACCUCUUAUCAUGGCUUUGAUUAAUUUCUGCUUCUACUGCCAGAGAGAUGCCAUGAUGACUCAAUGAAGACCCUCACGCAUGGCUGGAAGAUCCAUGGAGUGGCCAACAACAACCCAGAGUGGGGCCAAACAUCCUCCAGCAAGCACUCCAACCCAGCUUAGUCAGUGUCACAUCGGUCCAGGAGCCUGGCCUCCCUGUUUGCUGAAGAGCACACUGAGCACUGGGAUUUUGACAGCCCUGGUUCCACAGCAAUGAGCUGUCAUCUAUUUUUCCAGAUACAAACCACAUGAAAAGUGCCGCAAACAGUCAGUCAUCAGUGGCUGCUGCAAAGGACUCUGUGCUUCUCUGGCUAGGCUGUCUUAAAAAGGCACUGUCUGUACCCAGCACUGACUGAGCGCCUUUCUGUAAAUAUUUGGAAUAAAUGAAUAUUUGGAAUAAAUGAGCCAUUCAGAUUCCCCAGAAGGGGAAGAAAACAUUUCCACCACCAAUGUGGAGCAAGAUGAGUCAUCAGGUGAAGCUUCUCAGAGACCUCCACGUCCACAGAUGUUUGGUCAAUACAUCCAUGAAGAAGCACACUCAGACAGAUGGCAUGUGAUUUAUUUUAUCGAUAGGUAACAAAGGAGAUAAAGGACCGAUGUACAGAAAUGAAAAGCUCUCAAAAUGCCCAGAAGAACAUUCUAUGGAUUAAGCAGUUCUGGGAAUACGUGGGCUGAGAAGAAAGAAAAUUGCACAGUGAGGAACCUUUUUUGCAAGCAGAUAGCGAAUGCAAACCUUGCACAUUGUGCAAUGCGUGAUUUAAGGUGACGGCACUGGGAGAUAAUCUGGGGAGCACCAGAUUGUAAACAAGUGGCAACUUGGAGGAAUUCCCAGAAAACAAGUGAUUGACUGAAUAAACUGCAAUGCACAUUAGAGAUGCAAAAGGUGACAUCAAAGGAAGAGUGAGAUGAAGGUUACGACAACACACAGCUGCCAUUCACUAAUUACAGGCCGCAGAAAGCAGCAAGUGUGGGGAUGAGAUGCAUCUCUGGACGUGUGCAGCUGAGGUCAUCAUAUGUGGUGCCAGAGGUGCAGUCACAGCCCCAUCCCACCCUUGUUUGCCGUGGUGUGAAUCCACCAUGACUUAUGGGACACAUCACCUGUGUCAGUAGGAAAGCACCAGUACAGACAGGCCUGACUGACUGCUCCGGGCAGUGACAAUGCUGAUUUCAUUCAUAGCGAGGUGGAAGGUUUCCUGGAUAAAUACAUCCAGGGCUUUGUAUGGCUGGAAACCACCUUCCCCCAACCACUGAGCGUGUUGUGGAGGGCAGGAGUGGUAGUCACAGGGCAGAAAGCAGGGCUGGUGGCCAGCUUUCACUGCCACCACUGCAAAGAUAACAGAAACACAGAAUUACUUGAAUUGGAAAGGACUUCAUCCUUGCAUCCCCAGCUUGUACUGAUGGCAGGGGUUGCCGUGAUCCAGGUGCAAGACAACCUUGCACUUGGCUUUGGAUCAGUGAUAGCAGGUAAGGUCCAUGCAUUCCAACAACAAGCCAAGGGUACUCUAGUCCUUCACUCAAGGAAGCACAGCAGAGCUGCAUCCGAGGCCUCUUCUCCUCCACCACUCUCAGCUGAGAGCAGGCACAGUCCUGCUCAAGGGGGAAAUCUGUUCUCCUCGCUCAGUCUAAGAAAGCACAGCAUCCUCUGCCUGCCCAUGUCAAAGCCUGUGAAGCAGAAACGAUUUUACUGUCCAGUGACUGCAGUGUCCUUACCAAGGGUUGAGCAGUGUGGGCCCAAAAAUAUUAAGCUUAUAUUCCUAGUUUUUGCCUGGUAGUUUACUAAGAGCCACCAAGAAGGAAACGAGGAGGAUUCAAUUUAAACAUCUCACCACUACUAGGAAAGUGUCCCAUAACCCCCAUCUUUUUUUGCCCCAGCCUCCCUUGCCUUGCCUGCUCAGCCAUUUCACGUAUUUAUUAUUCUUCAUAUGAAAUAAUACUUCCUGACAUCCAUUCCCAGUUUGUUUCUCUUUAAUUUCCAUUUAUAGCAUAUUUUCCUAUCCUCCGACCAUGUUAGAAUAAAACAAUAAGUAUGUUUGACACGGUGCAAGUUACUUAAGAUCACGAUCCUUCCCUGACCUUGAGGUUGUUUUUUUUUUUAACAUGUGCUAAAAUGCGGAAAAAUAAUGAAAUGAACAUUGAGAGGAGGCAAGUGGAAAGCCAAGAGAAUCAGCAGCCACUCAGCAUUUCACAUCCCUGAUUAUUCACCGACUGGUGUGAGGACCAGGCUCAGCAGCCCCCAUCCUGUUCCACUCUGACAAGUAUCAGCUGCAGCCAGAUGGGGGAAAGUGAAGAGCUGGGGCUGCAUGUUCCUUCCAGAUAGAGGGGAGAACCGGGUGGCUGUAAGAGCUGGGCAGAAGCAUGGGAAAGCAAAUGUUAAUUCCGAGUGUGGUGAUACAAACUGGCUUGGGUGAUGCUUUACCUCCUGACCAGGCAGAUGGGAAAAGGUGCCCUUUCCUUGCUUUGAAAAGAGAGCGUGUGCUUCCAAGUAUAACCUGGCAACUCUACAAGCCAGAAAAACCACGUGGAGAAUCAGUGAGGAGCACUUUAGUUACGGCAUCUCUGUCUUAGUACAGACAGCCAAUGUAAUUUUUGCUCAGGAAAAGGUUGCUUAUGAAACUAAGGAAGAAGCAGUGUAGCCUCCAACCCAAUGUGCUAGCAUGCCUUCCUGUAAGUAACAAGAGCAACACACCAGGGUCGUGCUCCAUCGCUAUUCUAUGGACUACCAGGCAGUUCUCAGUAGGAACCAUCAUGCUCCAUGCGGCUCCUCCACAUCAUCCUGCACAGGGAAGGCAGUAAUUAUGGUUAUUGCUCCUGUUGUGGCAAAGUGGACAACCCCUGAACCAAAACAUGUGAAGCAAAACACCUCAGCUCAGUCCUGCCUGGCUGCAGUUCUGUGUUAUGGCCAGGAAGAGAGGCAAGUUCCCACAGCCAAAAAAAGCCACAGCUCAGUUCCAGUCACGGUGCUCUGUAUGUAUCUUAUCUGCUUUUGGAUGUUUUCUUCACACAACUAUUUUAUCAACAGAGCUUUAUAAUCUGCACAUUUCCCAAGAGCAUUUUCCUUCUGAGGAUUCCUAGCUGAGCACACCCACACUACAAACUCUGGGCUUAGCCUGGGAGUUUGCAAGGUCAAGACAAACAUCAUGGCAAAGAGCAGCCAAGUUAAACUGCGCACUGACAAAGCGCUGGCCUCUCAAACACAUCACGCAGCACAUGCCAGGGCUGUGCCACAUAAGGUUCAGGAGCCAGAAGGUUAAGAGGGGCAGCCAGCCUUCAGGGAAGCAGGUUGGAAUUGGCUUUGGAAGCUUGUCACUACAUCAGGCUUUUGGGAAACCAGUGUCACCUUGUGAUGGCCAAGAGAUGCUCCCGUGGCUGUCCCAUGGCUCUCUGUGGCAUGGGGUGAGUAUUCAUCAGCAGCCCUGCAGGGCCAGCUCACAUGCUUGGGAACCAGUUACUUAAUCCUCAGCAGCACAAAGACUUGUGAUUAGAAAAAAGUGUGUUUGUGACCCUUCUCCCUCAACUCUCUGCACUUCAUCUCUUGUGCUCCAAGCUCUGGGCAGGCAGAGUUUGCGUAGGUAGAUCUGUCCUACAUAGCCCAUGGUUUGGAAGGAUAAACACAAAUCCCCCCAGUCUGUCUCUUCCUUCUGCUCAUUUCUCCCCUGCCACAAUUGGCCAAUUUACCUUUGCUGUUCUCCCAGAGCAGCAUUUACAGCAUCUGGAAGAGUAAGAAACUGAUGGGUAGGAAAAAAAAA